GGAUGUGAGGGCGAUCUGGCUGCGACAUCUGUCACCCCACUGAUCGCCAGGGUUGAUUCGGCUGAUCUGGCUGGCUAGGCGGGUGUCCCCCUCCUCCCUCACCGAUCCAUGUGCGUCCCUCCCGAAGCUGCGCGCUCGGUCGAAGAGGACGACCUUCCCCCCCGAGGAGAGGACCGGUCUUCGGUCAAGGGUAUACGAGUAGCUGCGCUCCCCUGCUAGAACCUCCAAACAAAAUGAGGAUCCAUGUCUGUAGUUGACAUAAACUCUCAAUCAUUAUGUCUUCAUAAAUUGCUCCUUU
This 298-nucleotide small nuclear RNA is filed under the name Myotis brandtii (Brandt's bat). Its description in RNAcentral is "7SK RNA". It matches the Rfam family "7SK RNA". From Rfam's summary of the family: 7SK was discovered as an abundant small nuclear RNA in the mid-70s but a possible function has only recently been suggested. Two independent studies have found that 7SK RNA binds the CDK9/cyclin T complex (known as elongation factor P-TEFb). P-TEFb activates transcription by phosphorylating the C-terminal domain of RNA polymerase II. Lineage: Eukaryota; Metazoa; Chordata; Mammalia; Chiroptera; Vespertilionidae. The record is from Rfam by way of RNAcentral.